Molecule: ribosomal RNA, 261 nt
Filed under: uncultured archaeon
Lineage: Archaea
Description: partial 16S ribosomal RNA
Rfam family: Archaeal small subunit ribosomal RNA
Source: RNAcentral
AGGGUGUAAACGCUGCAGACUUGGUGUUGGAAAUCCUUCGAGGGUAUUCGGUGCCGGAGAGAAGUUGUUAAGUCUGCUACUUGGGGAGUACGUCCGCAAGGAUGAAACUUAAAGGAAUUGGCGGGGGAGCACCGCAACGGGAGGAGCGUGCGGUUUAAUUGGAUUCAACACCGGAAAACUCACCAGGGGAGACUGUUACAUGAAACCCAGACUAAUGAUCUUGGUUGAUUUUCAGAGAGGAGGUGCAUGGCGUCAGUGACU